GAUAAACGCUGGCGGUGUACAUAAGACAUGCAAGUCGAACGGGAGAAGACAGGAAGAUUUAUCUACUUGUUGGACACCGUGGCGGACGGGUGAGUAACACGUAAGCAACCUGCCUAUAAGAGGGGAAUAACAGUGAGGAAUUACUGAUAAUACCGCAUAAGCUGGAGGUAUCGCAUGAUACAUUCAGAAAAGAUUUAUCGCUUAUAGAUGGGCUUGCGUCUGAUUAGCUAGUUGGUGAGAUAACAGCUCACCAAGGCGACGAUCAGUAGCCGGAUUGAGAGGUUGAACGGCCACAUUGGGACUGAGACACGGCCCAGACUCCUACGGGAGGCAGCAGUCGGGAAUAUUGCACAAUGGAGGAAACUCUGAUGCAGUGACACCGCGUAUAGGAAGAAGGUCUUAGGAUUGUAAGCUAUUGUCGUGNGAGAAGAAAA
RNAcentral lists this ribosomal RNA (434 nucleotides) under uncultured bacterium. RNAcentral's name for it is "bacterial SSU rRNA". It matches the Rfam family "Bacterial small subunit ribosomal RNA", at positions 28 to 451 of the family's 1533-position model. The record is from RNAcentral.